GGGUCUUGCUCUGUCAUCCAGGCUGGCGCAAUCUCAGCUCACUUCAACUUCUGCCUCCUGGGUUAAAGCGGUUCUCCUGUCACAGCCUCCUGAGUAGCUGGGAUUACAGGCAGGCACCACCAUAAUGAGCUAAUUUUUGUAUUUUUAGUAGAGACCAGGUUUCGCCAUGUUGCCCAGGCUACUCUUGAACUCCUGGCCUCAUGUGAUCCACCCAAAGUGCUGGGAUUACAGGCGUGAGCCACGGCGCCCAGCUGGAACAAUCUUGAUAUUAGCGUGAACAAGUGAUUUCAUAGCCACCGCGCCCUGCUGGAACAAUCUUGAUAUUAGGGUGAACAAGUGACUUCAUAGCUUUCUCUGAAGGAGGAAACACUGGGAGCACCCACCCGAGAAUCAACACCAUGGAUCAUCCUGGGGAGUUAAUAGUUUUGACAUGUGUCCCAAGAUAAUUGUUAGCUUGAAUUACCACGUGGAUGGAACCAUGCUGAUCCUAAGAGCCAGGCCAAGCCUACUGCUGUUAGAAAACAUAUUUAGAAAUCACUUGGUUCUUCCUUGCCUGAACAUCAUAUAUUUAGUUACCUUGUGUGUUUAGAUGUGCUUCAGAUCUUAAAAAAAAAAAAAAAUUAUGUUAUUUGAAAG
RNAcentral lists this long non-coding RNA (636 nucleotides) under Pongo abelii (Sumatran orangutan). Its description in RNAcentral is "lincRNA". The record is from RNAcentral. Lineage: Eukaryota; Metazoa; Chordata; Mammalia; Primates; Hominidae.